CUGGUCCUGGCCAUCAUCUGCAUCUGAUUCAAGGAUACAGAGAAACUUGAGUAAUGAUGACAAUAGCAGCCAUGCCGUCUCCCAUUCUUACCACCGGAUGUGAAGAAAUUCUAGAUGCGAUCCAGCCAAUCUGUACUCGACUCUCAGUUCCCUCUUCUCAACUCACAGUGUCUUCCAAAGUCCAUGCCACAGCACAGCCUGGAAAAUCUCCCAAAGCAGUAUCUUGAGGCAAUGGUAGAGCUCAUGUCACAGCAUUGUAUGUCUCAGCCGUGGUGUCAGGGAACACUGGCUUCAUACAGUGCAUUGGGAAAGGUUCUCUACUCGUCUGAUUUUAUUGAUUGUUAUUAAUGCUGAAAGGCUUCGAAUAACACACCAGUGAAGUCAUCUUGACCUGGACAGAAAUUGAAUCCUUACAAGAAUUCUAGGAGCUUGGAAGGGGAUACUUUACCAGGUCUUCGUGUAGUCUCCACACUGCCUUCCACAAUGGUUGAACUAAUUUAGACGUCCACCAAUGGUGUGUAAGUAAUUCCUUUGUUCCACAACCUUGCCAGUAUCUAUUUCUUGACUAUUUAAUAAUAGCCAUUCUGACUGGUGUUAGAUGGUAUCACAUUGUGAUUUUUAAUUGCAUUUCUUUCAGGAUCGGUGAGGUUGAGCUUUUCUUCAUAUGAUUGUUAGCCACAUAUAUAUCUUCUGUUGAAAGUGUCUGUUCGUGUCCUUUGCCCUCUUUUUUUAUGGAGUUGGUUUUUUUUUCUUGAACAUUUGUUUAAGUUCCUUAUAGAUGCUGCAUAUUAGACUUUGGUCAUAUGCAUAGGUUGCAAAACUUUUCUCCCAUUCUGUAGGUUGUCUGUUCAUUCUGUAGAUAGUUUUCUUUUGCUGUGCAGAAAACUAAGUUUAA
Molecule: non-coding RNA, 895 nt
Organism: Chlorocebus sabaeus (green monkey)
Lineage: Eukaryota; Metazoa; Chordata; Mammalia; Primates; Cercopithecidae
Source: RefSeq, a predicted model, not a curated record